UACGAAGGGGGCUAGCGUUGCUCGGAAUCACUGGGCGUAAAGCACACGUAGGCGGCUUGCUAAGUCAGGGGUGAAAUCCUGGAGCUCAACUCCAGAACUGCCUUUGAUACUGAAGAUCUUGAGUUCGGGAGAGGUGAGUGGAACUGCGAGUGUAGAGGUGAAAUUCGUAGAUAUUCGCAAGAACACCAGUGGCGAAGGCGGCUCACUGGCCCGAUACUGACGCUGAGGCGCGAAAGCGUGGGGAGCAAACAGG
This 253-nucleotide ribosomal RNA is filed under the name uncultured bacterium. RNAcentral's name for it is "partial 16S ribosomal RNA". It matches the Rfam family "Bacterial small subunit ribosomal RNA", at positions 524 to 776 of the family's 1533-position model. The record is from RNAcentral.